This 1128-nucleotide long non-coding RNA is filed under the name Nicotiana tabacum (common tobacco). RNAcentral describes it as "long non-coding RNA (NTAB_LNC007891)". Lineage: Eukaryota; Viridiplantae; Streptophyta; Magnoliopsida; Solanales; Solanaceae. The record is from RNAcentral.
AAAAAGAAAACCCUGGAGUUCCAUUCCCUCCCUAUAUAAACUCGUGCUUUACCACUCUUUCAUAUAUCACAUCUCAAGUUGUGGCCAUCACACUCAUGAAGAGCGCUCAGGACAAUAACAAUGAUGAAGAUGAUGGAAUCCAAUUCCAAUUCCAAUUCAUCGAAAUUGAAUCAAUGAGUCACCAUGUUAAAGUAUUGGAUUUAUCAUCUCUUCUUAAUUAGCCAUUGCUUAUUUGAUAACGUUCUCUCCUUUUGUUCUUUGAUUUCUAACCCUUGACCCCAUCGAUGUGCUUAUGUUGUGAUGCCUUGGGGCUUAAUUAACUCUUUCUUGCAAAUACUCCAUGCUUCCAAAUACUUUUUAAGGAUAAAAAGAAGAAUAACGCUUGAAAAUAAAAUUGAUACACACUCUCCAUCCCAUUUAAAAUAAUUUUUUGAUCUCAUUUGCGGAAUUAAUUCUUUUAAGCAUUCUUCGAUAUUGAUUGAUUAGUUAUUUUCAUAAACCAUAUCUUAUUUAAACAGUAGCAGAAAGAUUAUAUAUCAUACUAUGAAUAGAAAAUUUGGCUUAUCUAUCAUCACCGGUUUUAGGUGGAUUCUGUGUUUGAGUUGUUUUUUCUUUCAAUUUAGUGUUUGCAAGCAAUGACGACUAUUUCGUGCGAGCAACCAACUAUGUGUUUGCCAUCUGAUUUCCCUUGGCUUCAAUUCCUUUGAGCUUCCAGCAUCAGAUGCUGCAGAAGUAGCAGCAACAACAAUUGCAGCAACAACAACAGCAGCAACAAUAACAGCUGCAGCAACAACAACAGCAGCAACAAUAACAGCUGCAGCAACAACAACAGCAGCAGCAACAGCAAAAGAGGAAGUAGCAGUAGAGUAGCAUUAGCAGUAGUAGUAAUAGUACCAUUAGCAGUAGUAGUAUGACUUAUACGGAAUGUCACCAAAACCAAGCAAGAACUAUGUGUCUAAUAUCUAUAUGUUAUAUCUCUAGUUUCAAAGAACUCUAUAUAUAUUGUCUUAAAGGACCAAAAAAUACGUUUGUUUAGUGUUUCGAAUUGCAACAAUGAUCUUGUUCAAUAUACAUCUCUCUAUUUUGAUUUCCCAACAUGACGAGAAUAAAUAUAGAUCCAAAAAUGAU